UACGUAGGGUGCGAGCGUUGUCCGGAUUUAUUGGGCGUAAAGAGCUUGUAGGCGGUUUGUCGCGUCGGGAGUGAAAACUCAGGGCUUAACCCUGAGCCUGCUUCCGAUACGGGCAGACUUGAGGAAGGUAGGGGAGAAUGGAAUUCCUGGUGAAGCGGUGGAAUGCGUAGAUAUCAGGAGGAACACCAGUGGCGAAGGCGGUUCUCUGGACCUUUCCUGACGUUGAGAAGCGAAAGCGUGGGGAGCAAACAGGCUUAGAUACCCUGGUAGUCCACGCCGUAAACGGAGGGUACUAGGUGUGGGGGACAUUCCACGUUCUCCGUGCCGCAGCUAACGCAUUAAGUACCCCGCCUGGGGAGUACGGCCGCAAGGCUAAA
Molecule: ribosomal RNA, 377 nt
Filed under: uncultured bacterium
Lineage: Bacteria
Description: bacterial SSU rRNA
Rfam family: Bacterial small subunit ribosomal RNA
Source: RNAcentral